This 339-nucleotide unclassified non-coding RNA is filed under the name soil metagenome. RNAcentral's name for it is "partial contains 5.8S ribosomal RNA, internal transcribed spacer 2, and large subunit ribosomal RNA". The stretch from base 4 to 119 matches the Rfam family "5.8S ribosomal RNA", at positions 39 to 154 of the family's 154-position model. The record is from RNAcentral.
GAUAAGAACGUAGCGAAAUGCGAUAAGUAGUGUGAAUUGCAGAAUUCAGUGAAUCAUCGAAUCUUUGAACGCACAUUGCGCCCUUUGGUAUUCCAAAGGGCAUGCCUGUUCGAGCGUCAUUUGUACCCUCAAGCUUUGCUUGGUGUUGGGCGUCUUGUCUCUAGCUUUGCUGGAGACUCGCCUUAAAGUAAUUGGCAGCCGGCCUACUGGUUUCGGAGCGCAGCACAAGUCGCACUCUCUAUCAGCAAAGGUCUAGCAUCCACUAAGCCUUUUUUUCAACUUUUGACCUCGGAUCAGGUAGGGAUACCCGCUGAACUUAAGCAUAUCAAUAAGCGGAGA